Molecule: unclassified non-coding RNA, 290 nt
Filed under: Hevea brasiliensis (rubber tree)
Lineage: Eukaryota; Viridiplantae; Streptophyta; Magnoliopsida; Malpighiales; Euphorbiaceae
Source: RNAcentral
GGCGGCCACAAACUACGAGAGAACAACGUGGGUGAAUGUGCUGUAUUGCCUGCGAAACGAAGGGUUGAAUGUGGGCGGGAGCUUGUCUUCCGGCCCCGCAAAGAGUCUUAUUAGAGAUAGAUUCAAGACUUUCAACGCCAUGUUUGAGGAGGUUCACAGGACACAAUCAGCAUGGUUGAUACCAGAUUCUCAGCUGAGGGAGGAGCUGCGUAUAUCCAUAACUGAGAAGUUGAUUCCAGCUUACAGGUCGUUUCUUGGCCUCCAUGGCCACCACAUAGAGAGUGGAAAAC